GAAGGUAUAGCUCAAGUGGCAGAGCGUAUGCUUAGCAUGCACAAGGUCCUGGGUUCAAACCUAGUACCUCCU
RNAcentral lists this transfer RNA (72 nucleotides) under Camelus bactrianus (Bactrian camel). It matches the Rfam family "tRNA". Rfam says of the family: Transfer RNA (tRNA) molecules are approximately 80 nucleotides in length. Their secondary structure includes four short double-helical elements and three loops (D, anti-codon, and T loops). The record is from Rfam by way of RNAcentral. Lineage: Eukaryota; Metazoa; Chordata; Mammalia; Artiodactyla; Camelidae. RNAcentral also lists the same sequence under 1 other name.